This 306-nucleotide long non-coding RNA is filed under the name Marmota monax (woodchuck). The record is from RNAcentral. Lineage: Eukaryota; Metazoa; Chordata; Mammalia; Rodentia; Sciuridae.
UGAGCACUUCCCUCCCCCUCAUUUUUGCGACAGUUGCAGCGAAAGUCACGGCAGUUGAGCCUGGUGUCAGCUGAUUUACUGCGGCGGCGGCGGCAGCGGCACCUUGCAACCUCAGUGGGGAGAGGGCGAUCCGCCGGCGCUUGCAGCUCCCGAGGAUUUCCCACUUGGAUUUGCGCACCCCAGCUUCUCCUUAGAUACGCCCUCGCCUUGUCCUCUCUUGUUGGGGCUCCCACGGCUGAUUGAUCUGACAGACCACAUCGCGGCAUGUGAUGAAGCUGUGACAGGUAGGAGGGCUGGGAGCCUCUC